GGGUUGUGAGGUUAAGCGACUAAGCGUACACGGUGGAUGCCCUGGCAGUCAGAGGCGAUGAAGGACGUGCUAAUCUGCGAAAAGCGUCGGUAAGGUGAUAUGAACCGUUAUAGCCGGCGAUGUCCGAAUGGGGAAACCCAGUGUGAUUCGUCACACUAUCGUUAACUGAAUACAUAGGUUAACGAGGCGAACCGGGGGAACUGAAACAUCUAAGUACCCCGAGGAAAAGAAAUCAACCGAGAUUCCCCCAGUAGCGGCGAGCGAACGGGGAGCAGCCCAGAGUCUGAAUCAGCUUGUGUGUUAGUGGAACGGUCUGGAAAGUCCGACGGUACAGGGUGAUAGUCCCGUACACCAAAAUGCACAGGCUGUGAACUCGAAGAGUAGGGCGGGACACGUGGUAUCCUGUCUGAAUAUGGGGGGACCAUCCUCCAAGGCUAAAUACUCCUGACUGACCGAUAGUGAACCAGUACCG
RNAcentral lists this ribosomal RNA (472 nucleotides) under Klebsiella quasipneumoniae subsp. similipneumoniae. RNAcentral describes it as "partial 23S ribosomal RNA". It matches the Rfam family "Bacterial large subunit ribosomal RNA", at positions 1 to 503 of the family's 2925-position model. Lineage: Bacteria; Pseudomonadati; Pseudomonadota; Gammaproteobacteria; Enterobacterales; Enterobacteriaceae. The record is from RNAcentral.